AGCAAACUUCUUAACUGAUUUCGUUAUUUCAGGACCUGCUGUGCUCAAUAGAAACCUCACCCUUUCGAUAACAAUACCUAAUAUGAAACGACCGGUGGUUUGGAAGUGCCAGAAUUAUAAAUAUGAAUGUGACAGGACAUGCGCUGAUGGCCCUGACUAUAAAGUGACUCAUUUAAGAGAUACCUCCACGCUUUGGAUCAAAAAAGUAACUGAGAAAUGUUUGACUUGGAAAUUUGAAGAUGACAACCUUAAUAUUGGAAGAAUUGAUUUGGAGAUAAAGAGUAAGGAAAUGAUUUAUAGUAAUUUCUUUAUUAACCACAGAGGGCUAACUCAAAGCAAAACAUUCGGGAGGGUCCAGUGUGGGUUUUAGCAUGUAAAAAGUCAUACAAAGAAUAAAAGAAAUUCAAAGUAACAUCCCUGAUAGUUUGGGGACUUUGAAGGGCCACACGUAAAGAAAGCCCACAAAAUCCAUGGUCUCCCUGACCACCAGGGUGGAUGCCCUCUCCUGGUCUUUCCUCUCCAAUAUACAGGUACACUCUGAGAGAAGGCCCAUUCACUCAGGUAAUGCUCACCCCUCUCACCCACCUUUCAACAAACUGCUUGGAAGCCAGCACUUACCUCUCCACCUUGAUUUUCCUCUUCAAGUGAAACCUGACAAAGUUUAUUAGGGUUUUGACAAAAUGGCAAUUGCUGGUCUUCAGCCCUUUCAGACAUGUCCACUAUAUGAUCCCCUUUGCCAUGGGCCCCGAGCAGAUAAAUACUGGUUGCCCUUCUUGGUUGAAGGAAAGUAGAGGGGCCAUCUUCACAAUGGACUCAGGUGAUAGUUGUAUAUAAUAAGGGUUUCUUUUAUUUGCCACAAGGGCAAAGGAUGAGGGGGUCAAUACCAAGGUGUGUGUGUGUGGGGGGGUUAUAUUCUCUUUCUCUUUCUCUUUUUACUUGUUUCAGUCAUUUGACUGUGGCCAUGCUGGAGCACCGCCUUUUGUCGAGCAAAUCGACCCCAGGAUUUAUUCUUUGUAAGCCUAGUACUUAUUCUAUCGGUUCUCUUUUGCCAAACCGCUAAUUAACGUGGACGUAGACACACCAGCAUCGGUUAUCAAGCAGUACUGGGAGGACAAACAGACACACAAACACACAUAUAUAUAAUCAUAUAUACGAUGGGAUUCUUUCAGUUUCCGUCUACCAAAUCCACUCACAAGGCUUUAUAUAACCAAGCUCAUGUGUGCAACAUAGUGUUACUGGAAAUUUUGAUGGGGACUUUUCCUUUUAUAUCACUUUGAAAUGGAAUUUGUAUAACAGAAACGAAAGUAUUUUUUAAUAGUUUAGUAUGAAAAUGGUCAAACUUGGGAGAUAUUACUAUUUUUUAUUAAAAACAAAAGGUAUAUAUUUUAUUGUUUGUCAAUUGCAGAUCCGAAACCUGAACUUAGUGGAUCAAGACCCCUCAGAACACUCGAGAUUGUCGAAAUCAUUCUUGGCAUACUCAUCCUUGCUGCAAUCCUUGUCUGACUCUCUUUCUUCUGCUGCAAAUAUUUUAAGAAAUAAACAUUUGUAUAAGAACGCUACAAUUUGUGUUUUUUUAUCUAUAUUUAUCCUCUAAAAGGAAAAAAUAAUUCUAUUUAUCAGAUUAAGACUUUCACUGACUGCAUUGGCAUAGUUGGUUUUUUAAAUAAAUUAUAUCCAUAUUUUAGCAAUAUUUUUUCCAAAACUCUGCUCCGUCUUUUACUGGGAAUUUAAAAAUCUUAAAAGCUAUUAACUGUAUAUUUAUCAAUUUAGGACAACAACUAAUUUCAUUUAUAUAAUUAACAGACAAAACUACAUCAAUACACUAAACUUGAAAUCAAUAAAUUUGAAACCGAAGGAGCUGAAGGGAAAAACACAAACAGAAAAGGUCCACUUUUUAAAAUAUUCUUUCCAGAAAAAGUGAGCGGUAGCAGAUUCAGCAUGGAAAAUUACAUGAAUAUUCCAAAUUUGAAAAUUUUGACUGAAUCUUAGAAUGCAAAAGAAUGUGAUGUGUAUGUGUGUGUGUGGUGUCCCACCAACGUGUGCUAUUCCAAUAUAAUUGCAAUCUACACUUUCUUAAAGGUAUUUCUGAAAAUUUUCAUUUAAAAAUACCCAUUUUUCCAGAAGUUAUGAAGAAACAAAGUCGGUGGGGUACAUUUGCAUAUGUAUACCCAUUGCUUUAGCAUAAAUAUCUUCAAUUAUAAUCAAAGGGUCACUGCUUCCGUAGCCAACGAGAACAAAAUCCUUAAGCAUAGGAAAUGAAGUGUGACCCAUUUCUUCCACCUUUGACAUUUGCCACAGUGAAGUUCUUACCAUUGUUGGCGCCUCGCCUUACAGAAUGGUUCGGUGAUCCCUAUAAGGGUACUUGCUGCACCUCCUGUUUGUGUUUCUUUUGGUUUAGGAUUUGUAUUUUAAUGUGGUAUUGUAUUAUAUGUGUAUCAUGUAAAGACAUGUUAUAUAAGAUAAAAACAACAGAAAAAUAAGCCAACAAAAUCAAAAUAUUUACUUAUUAAAAAAAAUAAAAACUCUUUACAGAAUUUGCAAGAAAAAUACGAGAUGGUAUCAAAAAGUUCUCGGACAAGCUAUGUUUCAUAAAAAUUACUAAUUUACCAAAGUUUUAACAACAUCUCCUGUGAAAUACUCACCUUUCACAGCAAUACACUGGCCCCACAAUUCCUACUGCUUCAGGAAUCUGUCCUGGAAGUUGUUUUCUUUAAGCAAGUCAAGGACCUUUUGCGAUUUUAUUUCCUUUUCUGUAUAAUUGUUUAUUUAUUUUUAUAUCUGAAACGCUGAUUAUUUCUUGCAUAAAAUUAUAAAUUAUUGUCAAGUGUCCAA
RNAcentral lists this long non-coding RNA (2832 nucleotides) under Octopus vulgaris (common octopus). The record is from RNAcentral. Lineage: Eukaryota; Metazoa; Mollusca; Cephalopoda; Octopoda; Octopodidae.